This 713-nucleotide unclassified non-coding RNA is filed under the name Silene latifolia. Its description in RNAcentral is "CCLS96.1_E". Lineage: Eukaryota; Viridiplantae; Streptophyta; Magnoliopsida; Caryophyllales; Caryophyllaceae. The record is from RNAcentral.
UUUUGUUUUUGUUUUUCCCCCCAAUUUCUUGUGGCAUUUGACAUUUGAGAACACUUUCUUUGCCAUUUCUUUUUGAUUUUUGGCAUUUCAAUACUUGACAAUUUUUUUGCAUUUCUUUUUGAACAUUUUCAAAGUCACCCCAAUUAGUAACGAGGGUGCCUUGUAUUUGAAGUUUUUAGGAGUCUAUUUUUGCUCCUUUUUUUUCUUUUGAUGCAUUUUUGCAAACUUUCUUUCACUUUUCAUUUCAUUGAACUCAAAUUGAUUUCUUUUUGUGCCCAUUCCCUUUUGUUGACAAAAAUAUGGUAGAACAUGGAUGAUGGAUGUAUGGGUGCAUGGUUUCAAGGGUCACCUUGGAAUAAACGGUAGCCAAGGAGUUAUCACACCACAAGGUACUCUUGACUCGGCCUUAAACCAUGGGUCAAAGGAUACUAGCAUGACACAUCCUAGGGUGUUUUACAAGUAUUCUAACAAACAAAGUCUUAAGAAGAAAAAACAUUUACUAAGGCCUAUAUACACUUGUCAAGCUUCCCAAGUAGACAGUUUCGCAAAAUUUUUCUAACAUGCAACGUACAUGCCAUGAUGAACCUAACAUAUAAACAUCCUAAUUCAAAUGAUUCUUGUAACACCCCCAUACUCCAAGUGCCUUACCAGGACCACUCGGGUAUGAAGACAUCACCAUCUCGGUCGCCCGAGGCAUGAUAAUCAAAUAGACA